CCACCGCCCCGCCCCCCCUUUGUCCUCUGCCCUAGCCGGCCUAUUGGGCCGGCCUGUUCCCAACGGGCCACAACCAUGCCACCCACCUCCUGGACUGAAUAAGUGGUGGGCCGAAAAAUAAAUUAUUUCGGCCCAACACCCAGUUAUCUUUUUAUUUAUUCAGUACUUUAGUAAAUUUGCUUUAUAAUUCCUGUCAUUAGAACUUUUUACUUACGGCAAAUAACCAGAGAUAUUAUAUUUGCUUUUAGCACCAUGUAAUUCGCUGUUCUUAUAUAUAUCAGUUUGUUUACAUCACUUCAAAUAUUCCAAUGAAGUUUAUGUUUACCAGUUCUUUAAUUA
Molecule: long non-coding RNA, 339 nt
Filed under: Oryza brachyantha (malo sina)
Lineage: Eukaryota; Viridiplantae; Streptophyta; Magnoliopsida; Poales; Poaceae
Description: long non-coding RNA (OBRA_LNC001014)
Source: RNAcentral